Molecule: ribosomal RNA, 468 nt
Filed under: uncultured bacterium
Lineage: Bacteria
Description: partial 16S ribosomal RNA
Rfam family: Bacterial small subunit ribosomal RNA
Source: RNAcentral
GACGAACGCUGGCGGCGUGCUUAACACAUGCAAGUCGAACGGAAAGGCCCUGCUUUUGUGGGGUGCUCAAGUGGCGAACGGGUGAGUAACACGUGAGUAACCUGCCCUUGACUUUGGGAUAACUUCAGGAAACUGGGGCUAAUACCGGAUAGGAGCUCCUGCUGCAUGGUGGGGGUUGGAAAGUUUCGGCGGUUGGGGAUGGACUCGCGGCUUAUCAGCUUGUUGGUGGGGUAGUGGCUUACCAAGGCUUUGACGGGUAGCCGGCCUGAGAGGGUGACCGGCCACAUUGGGACUGAGAUACGGCCCAGACUCCUACGGGAGGCAGCAGUGGGGAAUAGUGCACAAUGGGCGGAAGCCUGAUGCAGCAACGCCGCGUGCGGGAUGACGGCCUUCGGGUUGUAAACCGCUUUCGCCUGUGACGAAGCGUGAGUGACGGUAAUGGGUAAAGAAGCACCGGCUAACUACGUG